GGUCUGAUGCACCUGGCCCGCGGCUUUUAGCUUGUGAGUGCCGGGAUGCGUCUGCCAUCCUUGUUAAGUACACUACUACCCUUCACUGGGCCGGUAGAUGUUAUUUAACAUCAUUUACUUUGAGAAAAUUAGAGUGUUUAAAGCAGGCUGUUUAUUGCUAUGAAUACAUUAGCAUGGAAUAAUAAUUUAGGACUUUGGUUCUAUUUUGUUGGUUCUUAGAACUGAAGUA
Molecule: ribosomal RNA, 229 nt
Filed under: uncultured fungus
Lineage: Eukaryota; Fungi
Description: partial small subunit ribosomal RNA
Rfam family: Eukaryotic small subunit ribosomal RNA (bases 24-229)
Source: RNAcentral